UUGACAACGACGCGAUGCGAUUACUGGUUACUAAAAAGACGGCAAAUAGCCACUAAAGCCUAAACAUGCAUGAAUAGAUAAAAUCGUAAUUUGUACCAAACGCAAAUGAUGACACGUGUUACGUUACAGGCAUGUUUGUAAUAUUUAUGAGGAGUGUUUUGUUUCCCGUGCUUUGAAAUAGAGUGGUACGGUCCAAUAGUAUUGAAGGCAAAGCUAAAAAAAAUCGGUUUGUUUUCACUGAGAGGAAGAAGCGUCGCUGUAAUUCGCUGCUGCAGCUCCCAUUUUUAAAAAAAAAAGGUUGUAACAUUUAUUUUAUAGCUGGUCGCGUUUCGGUCAGCAGCUUCCUCUGCUCGCCAUGGCUCUGUGCGGGGGUGUCGGAGCCAUGGCUUUGCCCAGCGAGCUCAUCGUCCACAUAUUCUCUUUUCUGUCCGACCGAGACAAGCUCCGGGCCUCGGCCGUGUGCUCGCGAUGGAGGGAGUGCCUCUUCUACCCGGCGCUGUGGACCGAGCUCAAACUGCGGAUAGGUGGCGGUUGCAACGGCGGCGGCUCCAGCUCCGAGGAGACCCCAAAGCUAGAGUUCCUCAUGCGCAAGUUCGGCUCCUUCGUGCGGGAGCUGCAGCUGGAGCUCGCGCCGGUGGAGGGUUACCUGAGCCCUCUGAACAGCGACCCGUCGUCCACCAGGAUGGACCAGCCCGACAGCGACCCGCAGCUCUCCGAGCGAUGGAGGGACGCCAUGGCCACCUACUUGGACCAGGUGCUGUGUGUGUUCUCCAGCAUCCGCAACAACAGAAACCUGCGGAAACUGAGUCUGUAUGGAGACACCUGUGUUCUCCAGCAGGAGGGACUUUUGGACCGCUCCAACCUGCACCAAAUUCACCAGGGGGACAAAAAGAUCAAUGAAAUCCAGCAGUUGUUCAUGGAGUUGCUGUCUAACGGCAGGCAGCUCAGGUGGCUGUCCUGUAGCUUCAUGCUGGGUCUGGUGACCCCCAGUUCCUUAGCCUCCCUAUCAAAUCCUUCAGCGGAGACCCUGCAGCACCUCAGUUUACUGGACCACCAGCUGGGUCCCCUCAUCUCACCGUCAGAGUUGGAUCGUCUAUCUAAUCUUCAUUCUUUGUCUGUGGAUUUCGCUGAUUUCACAUCUGAGCUUUGCGCUCUGCUGGCGUCUCCUCAGCGAACUCCGCUGCAUCGCCUCUCUCUGUUGCUCAACGGCGCCGCUCUGGAAUUCAAACCGCUGGAAGGCACCGCUACCGAGGACGAUUGGAAAGCACUGAUUCGCGUGAGUGCCAACCUGCGUGUGUACAUCAUGGCCCUGGAGGUCGACAGCUCGGAGCUCCUCAGGGUCCUAAAGCCCAGCCUGCCUCUGGAGCGCCUCCACCUCGACAGUUACAGCUCGCUGGUGACCGACGCCACACUGGAGCUCAUAUCUCAGCAGUACAACAAAACGCUGACUCACUUCCUGCUCCUGAGGGACGACCCCGACUUCCCCGACCUCAGCGUCAAUCGGAACGAAGACCCGCUCGUCCUCUUGUCAUGGAGAUGUACUCAGCUGGCUGUACUGGUGAUACAUGGUUACACUGUUUGGUCCCAUAAUUUGGUGGCCAUUUCCCGGCUGCGGGGCUCCAACCUCCGUAUCCUGACCGUCUCCGAGGAGAGCAUCGACUUCGAUCCUGACCAGUCGGUGAGCAUUGAGGGCGACCCGGUGCACAACCUGGUGAAGGAGGUUUCUCUGGGUCUCGGCCGCGUCUGGCACCCCUGCCUGGAUUCCAGCCUGGUUUUGUCCGAGCCCACCCAGCACUUCCACCGCGAGCUGCACACCUUCAGCGUCGGCAUGUAGGGGGGAAUGGCAAGUCCAACACGUCGCAGCCUAGACUGCGUCAAGACCAGACCAGACCAAAGUCCAAGUCAACUCGGACCUCUGAACCAGGCCAAACGAAGACCGAACCAGCUUUUUAUGACCACGAUCUCCGCGUAUUGGUGAAGUAAAGAGAAGAAACGACAACAUGGCACUGAAAGCAUGACCUGGCCAAACUCACGUCCACGGCACACGCCUCCGGAAUCCCGCGAGGCGCCCGGCUACAUCGAUAGAUACCCGUGCUCAGUGUCCGCCAACUGUCUUCAUGUAGAUCUCGGGGGCCCACGUGGCUUCCGGCCGCGAAACAAAGUCUUUCUUGUCAAGUCUGGAGAGCCAAACCUAAUUAGCCAGGCGGGCCUGCUGCCCAGUCCAGCUGCACAACUAUGCAAGAGGAAUGCAUAUAAUCCACAGACGUCUCUAUUUUUGUUUUUUUUAUUUUCUCUCACUGUCACACAGUAGAAAUAGAGACGCGAGCUAUUAAGAACGUGCAACAACAAUACUUGGCCUUAUGAUGAUUUCUGAAAUCUACUUGUUUUAUCUGGGGGUUUUUUUGGGUUUGAGAUCUUCGUGAUUCCGGUCAGCCAGCCCGGCGACGGCAGCGGUGACGGCGGGGCUCACUCUUGGUCUCUGUGAGACCGGAUAGACGGCCCCAGUUUUAUCGUGGUACGAAUGUUGUGCAUUUGUUUAAAAUCAGGACAGUUUGCAAUAACAGCAGUCUUACUGGUGGCCACAAAGGGGCACGAGCAGUGCUGACAGCGCCUCGGCUGCGUCUUUAGAAAACGAUAGAGGAAGAAAUAUAAAUAGAUCUAUAUAUAGAUAGAUAUAUAUAAACUCACACAGUGCAUAUUUGUAUUAGGUAUAAACAAUGCAUUACCGUGGUAUACUCUUAUGCAACACAUGUCCGGGGGUUCAAUUUAUGAACAUGAAGUAUAUAAUGAAAUCACACAGACUUUGUACAUCCGGGGAAAAGCUACAUCGUCGCCUGUUUGUGUGUUGUUUUUUUUUUGCGAUAAAUGGUUGGACCAUCCUUAAUGUUGAAUAUUCUGGGCGUUCUGUUCCUGUGUGAUUUGUGUGUGUUGUAGUGAGCACAUAGCAGUGGGUUCUCUCUGUAGGCAGGGAAGCAGACCAAAAGCCCAACACACAGCUGGACCCCACUGUCAAAUCGCAUGGAGAAUCUUUUUAAAUGCAGUUCAUUAGUUUUUCUUAAAAAGAACCAACAACAAAAACGUUGAAUCUAAUCCAUACGUGGUUUUAGAAACGUCCCGAGUGCGAGCAGCUGCGUGGAUCAAGACUUAAUCCGACCGGGAAAAGAAAAGCUCCUCUUACAAGAACUCCCCUCGGUUUGGCUGCACGUGAGAACGUUGCGGUCGAGAACUGGGCUUCAUCUACGCCUGCUCUAUAUAUUAAAUAUGAAAUAAUUCAAAACUUUAAUUUGAGACCUUUGCAGCUGUUUUUUUUUUUUUAGUCUGCAGGGAAAGAGUCCUCUCCCGCUGAGGGGACAGAUUUUAUCAUAGUGUCAAUCCAUGGUUCUGUUGAGGAGAAAACCUCCAUGUAAGACCUCUUAACUGAUGGGGUACACUUGAGGGGGGGUUAAUAUGCCGAAUGUUGAUUUGAAUUAAUGUUGAAUGAAUGCUUCUCUUCUUUUAGUCAGUGAAUAAAAGCAUAAAAAAGUU
Molecule: RNA transcript, 3525 nt
Organism: Cyclopterus lumpus (lumpfish)
Lineage: Eukaryota; Metazoa; Chordata; Actinopteri; Perciformes; Cyclopteridae
Gene name: F-box only protein 33
Exons: 7
Source: RefSeq, a predicted model, not a curated record